This is a long non-coding RNA of Marmota monax (woodchuck), 1225 nucleotides long. RefSeq lists it as uncharacterized. The record is from RefSeq and is a predicted model, not a curated record. NCBI's taxonomy places the organism in Eukaryota, Metazoa, Chordata, Mammalia, Rodentia, Sciuridae. The transcript is spliced from 7 exons.
UCUCCUCCUAGUGUCCCCUGAGCUGAACUUAACAAAAAGACAGUUAGCAAGGGCACCUACAAGUGGAAUUUGCAGAGUCCCAGCCCCAGCAUCAGAAAGCAGGGUAAAGAAGGGCAGAGUUUUUGGCGGACACAACAUCUUUGUAUGUGGUGCUGAGGAUCGAACCCGGGCCGCAUGCAUGCCAGCUGAGGAGAGCAGAACCUUGUAAUUGCCUGUUUCGAUGAAUAACGGGGAUGGUGAGGAAGUCCUACCACUUUCUCAGCAAACCAGUCUUCUAAUGCCACCCAUCGUACGCCUCAAGUUCAUCUGUCUCAGUUCUGAGUUGACGCCAAGCACAGUAACUUCAUGAACAAACCGUGUCACAUACUCAGACCUCAAGUCUAUGUUCCUCAACUAAACAAAGUGACCUUAAAUUCAUAAGUUCCCACCAUGAUAUAUUGCCAUUCAAUAUCUCACCAGAGGCCAAACCCAUGGACUACCUGAACUUGGGCUUCAAAGUUUUAAAAUGUUCUGAACCGUUUAAAAUAAGAGAGGACUGUGGCUGUGGAGAUCAAAAUGACAGAGCCAUCUUAGAGGGCCCAGCCUAGGCUCAUGGAAACAUUGGACUUCUUUUUCCUGCUGACCAGAAUCAGAUGACUUGACACCCCUUCCUCGACAGUGGUGGCCUCCUGAGGAACUGAGCCUCCCCAGAAAAAUUUAACAGCCAAGUGGAAUGUGUGCUGGUGUCAGCAGCUGGGCCCAAAGGAAAAGAAAAAGAGAAGCAAAGAAAAGGCAGUUUGGGGACCAGACAGCAGGAGUGACAUAAGCCAUGGGUCAGCUUGAACUCCUGAAGAGCAGCCCUGGUCACAUUGUCGCUGACUUGCCCACAUCUCCAGUGUCUCCCCACACCUGACGACAGAAAGUCCUCCUCUGUGGAAACCAACCUUCUCAGGCGUGUUUCCCUCGCCUCUCACACACACCCGGUCCCCCAUUCGCCAGGUUCGUGGCCAUCCUUCAACCGCACACAGCCUGACCUCUUCUCUUCUUUGCUCACACUGUAAUUCCCUCCCCUGCGAUGCCCUCUCCGCUGUCCCAACACCAACCUUUCCUUCUUCCAAUGAAGAAAGUAUCACUUCUUCUGCAAUCAGGCUUUUGCUCAUCCCUAAGAUUCAAGUGAUUUUUAAAAAAUUCUUUUAAAUGACUAUUUGUUCUCGAGGCAAGCAUUAAAGGCCAAGAUUUAAGCCCA